GGGGAAUAUUGCACAAUGGGGGAAACCCUGAUGCAGCGACGCCGCGUGGAGGAAGAAGGUCUUCGGAUUGUAAACUCCUGUUGUUGAGGAAGAUAAUGACGGUACUCAACAAGGAAGUGACGGCUAACUACGUGCCAGCAGCCGCGGUAAAACGUAGGUCACAAGCGUUGUCCGGAAUUACUGGGUGUAAAGGGAGCGUAGGCGGGAUGCCAAGUCAGCUGUGAAAACUAUGGGCUUAACUUGUAGACUGCAGUUGAAACUGGUAUUCUUGAGUGAAGUAGAGGUUGGCGGAAUUCCGAGUGUAGCGGUGAAAUGCGUAGAUAUUCGGAGGAACACCGGUGGCGAAGGCGGCCAACUGGGCUUUAACUGACGCUGAGGCUCGAAAGUGUGGGGAGCAAACAGGAUUAGAUACCCUGGUAGUCCACACUGUAAACGAUGAUAACUAGGUGUGGGGGGUCUGACCCCUUCCGUGCCGCAGCUAACGCAAUAAGUUAUCCACCUGGGGAGUACGACCGCAAGGUUGAAACUCAAAGGAAUUGACGGGGGCCCGCACAAGCAGUGGAGUAUGUGGUUUAAUUCGACGCAACGCGAAGAACCUUACCAAGUCUUGACAUCCGUUGACCGCUGUAGAAAUACAGUUUUCCUUCGGGACAGCGAGACAGGUGGUGCAUGGUUGUCGUCAGCUCGUGUCGUGAGAUGUUGGGUUAAGUCCCGCAACGAGCGCAACCCUUAUGGUCAGUUACUACGCAAGAGGACUCUGGCCAGACUGCCGUUGACAAAACGGAGGAAGGUGGGGAUGACGUCAAAUCAUCAUGCCCUUUAUGACUUGGGCUACACACGUACUACAAUGGCGUUAAACAAAGAGAAGCAAGACCGCGAGGUGGAGCAAAACUCAGAAACAACGUCCCAGUUCGGACUGCAGGCUGCAACUCGCCUGCACGAAGUCGGAAUUGCUAGUAAUCGUGGAUCAGCAUGCCACGGUGAAUACGUUCCCG
Molecule: ribosomal RNA, 995 nt
Filed under: uncultured bacterium
Lineage: Bacteria
Description: bacterial SSU rRNA
Rfam family: Bacterial small subunit ribosomal RNA
Source: RNAcentral